AAGGGUAUAGCUCAAGUGGUAGAGUGUAUGCUUAGCAUAUGCAAGGUCCUGGGUUAAAUUCCCAGUACCUCCU
Molecule: transfer RNA, 73 nt
Filed under: Camelus bactrianus (Bactrian camel)
Lineage: Eukaryota; Metazoa; Chordata; Mammalia; Artiodactyla; Camelidae
Also listed under: 1 other name
Rfam family: tRNA
About the family: Transfer RNA (tRNA) molecules are approximately 80 nucleotides in length. Their secondary structure includes four short double-helical elements and three loops (D, anti-codon, and T loops).
Source: Rfam by way of RNAcentral